UUUUAAAUGAUGAAAAAAUUAGUCCGAAGAUUAUUGACGAUCACACAAUUCAAAUAUAAACCAAAAGGAUUCUGAAACUAA
Small nucleolar RNA from Sitodiplosis mosellana (orange wheat blossom midge), 81 nucleotides. RefSeq annotates it as small nucleolar RNA Me28S-Cm3227. Lineage: Eukaryota; Metazoa; Arthropoda; Insecta; Diptera; Cecidomyiidae. The record is from RefSeq and is a predicted model, not a curated record. The transcript has a single exon.